Molecule: ribosomal RNA, 488 nt
Filed under: uncultured bacterium
Lineage: Bacteria
Description: bacterial SSU rRNA
Rfam family: Bacterial small subunit ribosomal RNA
Source: RNAcentral
UGAACGCUGGCGGCGUGACUUAACACAUGCAAGUCGAACGGAGUUUUAACGGAAGUUUCGGAUGGAAGUUAAAAACUAGUGGCGGACGGGUGAGUAACGCGUGGGUAACCUGCCUCAUACAGGGGGGAUAACAGUUAGAAAUGACUGCUAACACCGCAUAAUAUAGCGAAACCGCAUGAUUUUUGCUAUCAAAUAGUUUAUAGGGUAUGAGAUGGGCCCGCGUCUGAUUAGCUAGUUGGUGGGGUAAAAGCCUACCAAGGCGACGAUCAGUAGCCGGCUUGAGAGAGUGACCGGCCACAUUGGGACUGAGACACGGCCCAAACUCCUACGGGAGGCAGCAGUGGGGAAUAUUGGACAAUGGGGGAAACCCUGAUCCAGCGACGCCCGCGUGAGUGAAGAAGUAUUUCGGUAUGUAAAGCUCUAUCAGCAGGGAAGAUAAUGACAGUACCUGACUAAGAAGCCCCGGCUAACUACGUGCCAGCAGCAGC